This 534-nucleotide ribosomal RNA is filed under the name Ascomycota sp. HD-2014. Its description in RNAcentral is "eukaryotic LSU rRNA". The stretch from base 177 to 330 matches the Rfam family "5.8S ribosomal RNA". The record is from RNAcentral. Lineage: Eukaryota; Fungi; Ascomycota.
CCGUAGUACUGCGGACGACAUUAUCAAGAGUCUGCGCCAAAAGUGCAGCUCGCCUCUCACCCUUGCUUAUAUGCACCUUUUGUUGUUUCCUCGGCGGGGCUUCCCCCUGCCGGUGGGACGCUCAUUUAAACCUUUCGCAUCAGCAUGAAACUUCUGAACAUAACCUAAAUAUUUACAACUUUCAACAAUGGAUCUCUUGGUUCUGGCAUCGAUGAAGAACGCAGCGAAAUGCGAUAAGUAGUGUGAAUUGCAGAAUUCAGUGAAUCAUCGAAUCUUUGAACGCACAUUGCGCCCCUCGGUAUUCCGUGGGGCAUGCCUGUUCGAGCGUCAUUUACACCCUCAAGCUUUGCUUGGUGUUGGGCGUCUGUCCCGCCGUCCUGGCGUGGACUCGCCCCAAAAUUAUUGGCAGCGGUCCUGACCGGCUUCUUGCGCAGCACUUCGCGCUCUGAGGCAUGAGGAGGGCCGCGUCCACAAAGUAGACUCUAAUAUUUGACCUCGGAUCAGGUAGGGAUACCCGCUGAACUUAAGCAUAUC